RNAcentral lists this long non-coding RNA (234 nucleotides) under Malus domestica (apple). RNAcentral describes it as "long non-coding RNA (MDOM_LNC020350)". The record is from RNAcentral. Lineage: Eukaryota; Viridiplantae; Streptophyta; Magnoliopsida; Rosales; Rosaceae.
AAUCCCACGAAUUUGUAUCUAAAACACUUAGUUACCCCCCACACUUAAAUCAAACAUUGUCCUCAAUGUUCAAGCAUAAAACCACACUAAACAAAAAGAAACAUAAAACAGCAACUAAAACAACUAAAAUAGGCAGAUUCAAAAAUAAACAACAAAGAGAAGGGUUUAGGAACGCAAAUCUGGAAUUGAAGUAAUUCCUUGGUCUUCCUUUGUUGAAUUGCAUGGGUUGCCUCC